CCUACGGGAGGCAGCAGUGAGGAAUAUUGGACAAUGGGUGCAAGCCUGAUCCAGCCAUCCCGCGUGAAGGACUAAGGCCCUAUGGGUUGUAAACUUCUUUUAUACAGGGAUAAACCUACUUACGUGUAAGUAGCUGAAGGUACUGUAUGAAUAAGCACCGGCUAACUCCGUGCCAGCAGCCGCGGUAAUACGGAGGGUGCAAGCGUUAUCCGGAUUUAUUGGGUUUAAAGGGUCCGUAGGCGGAUCCGUAAGUCAGUGGUGAAAUCUCAUAGCUUAACUAUGAAACUGCCAUUGAUACUGCGGGUCUUGAGUGAGAUUGAGGUAGCUGGAAUAAGUAGUGUAGCGGUGAAAUGCAUAGAUAUUACUUAGAACACCAAUUGCGAAGGCAGGUUACCAAGUCUUAACUGACGCUGAUGGACGAAAGCGUGGGGAGCGGAACAGGAUUAGAUACCCUGGUAGUCCACGCCGUAAACGAUGCUAACUCGUUUUUGGGGCCUUUGCGCUUCUAGAGACUAAGACGAAGUAGUAUAAGUUAGUACCGACCGUCGGGUAGGUACGUUACGUCGAAGAAGUAGUAACGUUACAAAGUAGUUAAGUUAGUACGGCGUUGAGACGNGCGACGGACGACGACGAGGGAGGAGG
Molecule: ribosomal RNA, 642 nt
Filed under: uncultured bacterium
Lineage: Bacteria
Description: bacterial SSU rRNA
Rfam family: Bacterial small subunit ribosomal RNA (bases 1-540)
Source: RNAcentral